This 63-nucleotide transfer RNA is filed under the name Penenirmus auritus. RNAcentral describes it as "tRNA-Tyr". Lineage: Eukaryota; Metazoa; Arthropoda; Insecta; Psocodea; Philopteridae. The record is from RNAcentral.
GGGCAGGUAGUUUAAGUGAAAUACCAUACUGUAAAUAUGAAGGUGAGGCGUACUCUCUGUCUA